CCUACGGGUGGCAGCAGUGAGGAAUAUUGGUCAAUGGGCUUACGCCUGAACCAGCCAAGUCGCGUGAGGGAAGACUGCCCUAUGGGUUGUAAACUUCUUUUAUAAAGGAAUAAAACGAGGCACGUGUGCCUUUUUGCAUGUACUUUAUGAAUAAGGAUCGGCUAACUCCGUGCCAGCAGCCGCGGUAAUACGGAGGAUCCGAGCGUUAUCCGGAUUUAUUGGGUUUAAAGGGAGCGUAGAUGGGUUGUUAAGUCAGUUGUGAAAGUUUGCGGCUCAACCGUAAAAUUGCAAUUGAUACUGGCAGUCUUGAGUACAGUUGAGGUAGGCGGAAUUCGUGGUGUAGCGGUGAAAUGCUUAGAUAUCACGAAGAACCCCGAUUGCGAAGGCAGCUUACUAAACUGUGACUGACAUUGAUGCUCGAAAGUGUGGGUAUCAAACAGGAUUAGAUACCCUGGUAGUC
Molecule: ribosomal RNA, 460 nt
Filed under: uncultured bacterium
Lineage: Bacteria
Description: partial 16S ribosomal RNA
Rfam family: Bacterial small subunit ribosomal RNA
Source: RNAcentral